This 30-nucleotide small RNA is filed under the name Arabidopsis thaliana (thale cress). RNAcentral's name for it is "ATSL116710". Lineage: Eukaryota; Viridiplantae; Streptophyta; Magnoliopsida; Brassicales; Brassicaceae. The record is from RNAcentral.
GCUCUACCAUUUGAGCUACAUCCCCACGAU